AAACUAACAAGGAUUCCCCUAGUAGCGGCGAGCGAAGCGGGAAGAGCUCAAAUUUAUAAUCUGGCACUUUCAGUGUCCGAGUUGUAAUCUCUAGAAGUGUUUUCCGCGUUGGACCGCACACAAGUCUGUUGGAAUACAGCGGCACAGUGGUGACACCCCCGUACACGGUGCGGACGCCCAGCGCUUUGUGAUACACUUUCGAAGAGUCGAGUUGUUUGGGAAUGCAGCUCAAAUUGGGUGGUAAAUUCCAUCUAAAGCUAAAUAUUGGCGAGAGACCGAUAGCGAACAAGUACCGUGAGGGAAAGAUGAAAAGCACUUUGGAAAGAGAGUUAACAGUACGUGAAAUUGUUGGAAGGGAAACGCUUGAAGUCAGACUUGCUUGCCGGAGCUUGCUUCGGUUUGCAGGCCAGCAUCAGUUUUCCGGGGUGGAUAAUGGCGGUUAGAAGGUAGCAGCUUCAGCUGUGUUAUAGCUUUCCGCUGGAUACAUCCUGGGGGACUGAGGAACGCAGCGUGCUUUUAGCGGGGGUUUCGACCUCUUCACGCUUAGGAUGCUGGUGUAAUGGCUUUAAACGACCCGUCUU
This 581-nucleotide ribosomal RNA is filed under the name Rhodotorula paludigena. RNAcentral describes it as "partial large subunit ribosomal RNA". It matches the Rfam family "Eukaryotic large subunit ribosomal RNA", at positions 62 to 655 of the family's 3401-position model. The record is from RNAcentral. Lineage: Eukaryota; Fungi; Basidiomycota; Microbotryomycetes; Sporidiobolales; Sporidiobolaceae.